AAAGAUUAAGCCAUGCAUGUCUAAGUAUAAGCAAUCUAUACAGUGAAACUGCGAAUGGCUCAUUAAAUCAGUUAUCGUUUAUUUGAUAGUACCUUACUACUUGGAUAACCGUGGUAAUUCUAGAGCUAAUACAUGCUAAAAAUCCCGACUUCGGAAGGGAUGUAUUUAUUAGAUAAAAAACCAAUGCCUUUUGGCUCCUUGGUGAUUCAUAAUAACUAAACGAAUCGCAUGGCCUUGCGCCGGCGAUGGUUCAUUCAAAUUUCUGCCCUAUCAACUUUCGAUGGUAGGAUAGUGGCCUACCAUGGUUUCAACGGGUAACGGGGAAUUAGGGUUCUAUUCCGGAGAGGGAGCCUGAGAAACGGCUACCACAUCCAAGGAAGGCAGCAGGCGCGCAAAUUACCCAAUCCCGACACGGGGAGGUAGUGACAAUAAAUACUGAUACAGGGCUCUUUUGGGUCUUGUAAUUGGAAUGAGUACAAUUUAAAUCCCUUAACGAGGAACAAUUGGAGG
RNAcentral lists this ribosomal RNA (510 nucleotides) under Orbilia laevimarginata. RNAcentral's name for it is "SSU rRNA". It matches the Rfam family "Eukaryotic small subunit ribosomal RNA", at positions 39 to 554 of the family's 1831-position model. The record is from RNAcentral. Lineage: Eukaryota; Fungi; Ascomycota; Orbiliomycetes; Orbiliales; Orbiliaceae.